GGCCAGUCUUCAGCACUUUUGUAUAUGAGGAAACUGGGAAUGAGUUGGAGCUGGAAGAUAUUCAUGGCUUUGCUAGAGAAGGAGAAUUAGAAAAUUUGCUGAAGUGUUUAGAAAGUGGUGUUUCAGUGAAUAUCAAGGAUAGUGAAGGCAGGACCCCAUUGCAUUGGGCAGUGGAUCGUGGUCAUUCUAAUGUUGUGGAGCUGCUUGUUUCCAGGAAUGCUGAUAUCAAUGUGAAGGACGUUGAUGGGCAAACCCCAUUGCAUUAUGCUGUUGUAUGCGACCGAGAAGCAAUUGCCGAAUAUCUUGUGAAGAACAAUGCCAACAUCAGCGAAAAAGACAAUGAUGGAAAGUCACCUUGUGAUCUUUGCGAGUCUAACUGGCCUUUCAUCGUUUCUGCAGAGAAGUAGAAAUUGGCAGAUGGUUUACCAUGUUUGGUGUGUCUUUUCCCUUCUAUCUUCUAAUUGAUUAUUUCACACGUUCCUUUUGAAUGUAAAUACUC
This 499-nucleotide unclassified non-coding RNA is filed under the name Hevea brasiliensis (rubber tree). Lineage: Eukaryota; Viridiplantae; Streptophyta; Magnoliopsida; Malpighiales; Euphorbiaceae. The record is from RNAcentral.